RNAcentral lists this ribosomal RNA (439 nucleotides) under uncultured bacterium. RNAcentral's name for it is "partial 16S ribosomal RNA". It matches the Rfam family "Bacterial small subunit ribosomal RNA", at positions 339 to 795 of the family's 1533-position model. The record is from RNAcentral.
CUACGGGUUGCUCCAGUGGGGAAUAUUGCACAAUGGGGGAAACCCUGAUGCAGCAACGCCGCGUGGAGGAUGACACAUUUCGGUGCGUAAACUCCUUUUAUAUAAGAAGAUAAUGACGGUAUUAUAUGAAUAAGCUCCGGCUAACUCCGUGCCAGCAGCCGCGGUAAUACGGGGGGAGCAAGCGUUACUCGGAAUCACUGGGCGUAAAGAGCAUGUAGGCGGGUAAAAAAGUUGGAAGUGAAAUCCACUGGCUUAACCAGUGAACUGCUUCCAAAACUCUUUACCUAGAAUAUGGGAGAGGUAGAUGGAAUUUCUGGUGUAGGGGUAAAAUCCGUAGAGAUCAGAAGGAAUACCGAGUGCGAAGGCGAUCUACUGGAACAUUAUUGACGCUGAGAUGCGAAAGCGUGGGGAGCAAACAGGAUUAGAUACCCUAGUAGUC